Molecule: long non-coding RNA, 1545 nt
Filed under: Lonchura striata (white-rumped munia)
Lineage: Eukaryota; Metazoa; Chordata; Aves; Passeriformes; Estrildidae
Description: domestica (Bengalese finch) lncRNA (ENSLSDG00000000163.1)
Source: RNAcentral
AUGCAGAUGAGAAGAGUUUCUGUGCCAGGGGCAAAGGCAGCCUCUCAUAAGAAGGCUUUCCUCUGGAAAAGAAGCAGUUUGAGUCCUGGAUCAGCACUAGAGUGCAGUGCACAAGGGAUGUUCAUCAGAGCUACUCGAGUCUGGCGGUGCUUCCCCACAUUUUCUUCAGCCAUGUUCAGCCUCCAGGAGUCCCAUAUUGAGCAGUGGAGAUCUUCAUUUAAUGAGAUGUGCUAAAUAAGUUGGACUGAAAAGGGCAAUUUUAUGUGUUGGACUUCCAUUUUGAAGAAGAACCUGUGGAUUGGCAUGUUUCUAUACAUUAAGUCAUCUAGAUCAGUGGAAUACAAAGAUGCUUUCUUCAAGGUGACUUCCAUGCUACUGAAAGCAAUCACUUUCUUCCUACAAAUACACCUCCCAGUGAUCAGGUAUUCUCAAUCAAUUGUUUAGGAAGUUUUACUACUCAUCAGUAUGAAAAUACAUUGGUGUACUGCUCUACUAGGAAUACAUCUGGUCCAACACAUAAUUUAUUACCUCUCCUCAAGAGUCAGCUCUGGCUAGUGUCCAUUAAGUUGUAUGUUCUGAGCCCAUUAUCAUUACUUAGGUAACACUAAACAUAACCAUAAGAAAACUAAACUGAAAAGCUUUCAAGGAAAAAAAAAAGUGCUUUGUUUCUACCUCUUUCUAAGUAAAAGGGUUUAAAGGUGUUGAUCCUUUGGGUAUAAUUGUUUAGAUGUAGUGUUUUGUGUUCCUAGGUAGGAUGCCCUCAAUAUACAUAAUAUGAAUUUAGCACUGUCAUCAAAUUUUCUUUUAAUGCAGUAAAAAUUCUUGGAUGGCAGCCAGCCUCUUUACCUCAUAAAAAAACAGCCUCUCUGAUUGCCUAUGUUGUAGAAACUGAAUAAUAUGUUACAACAUAGUGACUAAAAGAUGAGUAAACUGGCUGAGAACACACCCUCCACACAUGCAAAAUUUGGUCCCACUCACUGCUUGUUUGACAUUAUUGAUGAAGAUGUGUUUUUUCUCCCAGAGAUAAACAUGGCUCCAUAGGCCAAAUUCUUUUUUGAUUUACAUGCAAUGCACACUCUCUGGGCUAACUAAUUAGAAUGUGCUCCUUUACCAUAUCGUGCUUUAGAAAAAUUAUCUUUUUCUAUCAUAUAUCUUAGAAAUAAGGUAUUUCACUUUGGGAUGGUGAUGUGCUCUUGUGCAUGCCAGCAAAACCUGUCAUCAGCCAGGCUGAUAAAAAUUAAACCAAGAAAAACAUGUAAGUAUUCAUGUAGGUCAUUAUUCAUGUAGGUCAUAGUCUGGAAAAAUAAUCCACAAAAUUGUACUGAAUUUUCUUUUCUGCCUCCAUCCCCAGUUCAGUUACUGCAACAGAACUGAGGGCCUUACUUGAUAAUUUUUCAUUAUAAAAAACUCUGAGAUUACAACAGGUGACUGUUGGAAGGAAGAUGGAUCUUAUAUUCAGCUAAAGUGGUUAUUUCAACCUUUUUUGACCAGCAUCACCUGCAAGAGGUUAUGUCCUAAUAUUUAAUAAACUUCAACCUCAUAGCA